Molecule: non-coding RNA, 73 nt
Organism: Drosophila virilis
Lineage: Eukaryota; Metazoa; Arthropoda; Insecta; Diptera; Drosophilidae
Source: Rfam
GGCCGUGUAGCCUAAUGGAUAGGGCGUCGGACUUCGGAUCCGGAGAUUGCGGGUUCGAGUCCCGUCAUGGUCA